This 232-nucleotide ribosomal RNA is filed under the name Salmonella enterica subsp. enterica serovar Kentucky. Its description in RNAcentral is "partial 23S ribosomal RNA". It matches the Rfam family "Bacterial large subunit ribosomal RNA", at positions 1182 to 1389 of the family's 2925-position model. Lineage: Bacteria; Pseudomonadati; Pseudomonadota; Gammaproteobacteria; Enterobacterales; Enterobacteriaceae. The record is from RNAcentral.
ACGAUUGACGGAGCGAAGCGACGUCAAAGCGUAUACAAAGUCGAGUCGGUUUAAGGAUACGUUCGUUGGGUAGGGGAGCGUUCUGUAAGCCUGUGAAGGUGGCCUGUGAGGGUUGCUGGAGGUAUCAGAAGUGCGAAUGCUGACAUAAGUAACGAUAAAGCGGGUGAAAAGCCCGCUCGCCGGAAGACCAAGGGUUCCUGUCCAACGUUAAUCGGGGCAGGGUGAGUCGACC